UUCUUAUAAAUUAUUGAUUUUUUGUUGUUAUGUAGGUGGUCGAACAAGUAUUUUUUGGUUGAAUUAUUAUUUAAGAAAUAAUUGUUUUUAUUAUAGUUGAUUAGUAUUGUGAGAGAAUUUCUUAAAAGUGGUAAAGAAGAUAAAUUUUGUACCUUGUGUGUCAGGGUUUAUUGAUUAUUUGUAAUAGAUUUUAGUUUCCCGAAUUAAAAAGAGCUAGAUUUUUAUUUAUUUUAUUGUAGAACAAAUAUUUAAAAUAAAAGUUUUGUAGUGAAAUGUUAGUCGAUUUUUAAUAUAUCUGGUUUUUAAAGAAACAAGUUUAAUUGGUUUAUAAAUAGUAGUUUGAGGCUUCCUUUUUAGCUGAUUAUUUUUUAUAUAAAAUAUUUUUGGGGAUGAGCUUAAAAGUAAAAGAUUAAAAUUUUAUAUUGAGAUUAUUUAUUUUUAGGAUUAAAAUUGUUCAUAAAGUUAGAGAAUGUAAUAAUUUAUGAAUUAUCAUUUAAGAUUUAUAUAGAAUUUAAGUUUUUUAUUUAAAAUAUUUAUUUAAUUGAUAAGUAAAUUUUAUAAUAAUAAAAUUAGUAUACAAAUUUAUAUUUUUAGUAAAUUGAAAAUUAAGUUAAAGGAAUUCGGCAAUGUCAUUUUUCACCUGUUUAUUAAAAACAUGUCUUUUUGAAAAUAAUUUUAGGUUGGCCCUGCCCACUGAUGAAUUAAAUGGCCGCAGUAUACUGACUGUGCAAAGGUAGCAUAAUCAUUAGUUUUUUAAUUGAAAGCUGGAAUGAAGGGGUUGAUGAAAAAAUAGCUGUCUCUGGCUUAGAAAGUAGAAUUUUAUUUUUAAGUUAAAAAGCUUAAAUAGGUUUAAAAGACGAUAAGACCCUAUAGAGUUUAAUAUUUGCUGAUAAGGAUAUUAAUAGGGAUCAAUAAUGUAUUUUUAUUAUCAAUAUUUUGUUGGGGUGACAUUGAAAUUAAGUUAACUUUUAAUUAAUAGUAACAUAAAUAAAUGAAUAUUUGAUCCGUUUUUUACGAUUAUAAGAAUAAAUUACCUUAGGGAUAACAGCGUUAUCUUUUUUAGAGUUCCUAUCGAAUGAAGGGAUUGCGACCUCGAUGUUGGAUUAAAAUAAAUUUUUGGUGCAGAAGAUAAGUAAUUAGGUCUGUUCGACCUUUAAAAUUUUACAUGAUCUGAGUUUAGACCGGCGUGAGCCAGGUUGGUUUCUAUCUUUAAAUAAUAAUUUAUAUUUUAGUACGAAAGGAUUAAGUAUGAAAUUUAAAAUUUA
This 1265-nucleotide ribosomal RNA is filed under the name Curculionoidea sp. 24 KM-2017. Its description in RNAcentral is "16S ribosomal RNA". The stretch from base 850 to 1213 matches the Rfam family "Archaeal large subunit ribosomal RNA", at positions 2150 to 2716 of the family's 2987-position model. The record is from RNAcentral. Lineage: Eukaryota; Metazoa; Arthropoda; Insecta; Coleoptera.